This 77-nucleotide small nucleolar RNA is filed under the name Erinaceus europaeus (western European hedgehog). RNAcentral's name for it is "Small nucleolar RNA SNORD14 (ENSEEUG00000018884.1)". Lineage: Eukaryota; Metazoa; Chordata; Mammalia; Eulipotyphla; Erinaceidae. The record is from RNAcentral.
UCGUUAAGAUUCAUUUUAUUGUAGUUUCCACCAGAACUCUUUGUGUUGGCAAGUUCCUUCCUUGGAUGUCUGAGCGA